Molecule: ribosomal RNA, 254 nt
Filed under: uncultured bacterium
Lineage: Bacteria
Description: partial 16S ribosomal RNA
Rfam family: Bacterial small subunit ribosomal RNA
Source: RNAcentral
UACGUAGGGGGCGAGCGUUGUCCGGAUUUAUUGGGCGUAAAGAGCUCGUAGGCGGCUCGGUAAGUCGGAUGUGAAACCUCCAGGCUCAACCUGGAGACGCCAUCUGAUACUGCCGUGGCUUGAGUCCGGUAGAGGAGCAGGGAAUUCCUGGUGUAGCGGUGAAAUGCGCAGAUAUCAGGAGGAACACCAGCGGCGAAGGCGGCUCUCUGGAACGGUACUGACGCUGAGACGCGAAAGCGUGGGGAGCGAACAGG